UGCUCCAAAAUAGCCUGGUUAAUAUUUGCGGCGUGGUUCAGCUCCUUUCUCUCUCCUGCCUCUCAAAAAGAUGCUAUUCCUGUGAUUAAAACCAUUACAGUCCUUCAAAGGUUAUACAUGACUUUCAGGCUUCAGUCUCAAUAGAAGCAGCUAAAAUAGCUAAGCUUUAGACACAAGUCUAGCUGUUACAGCCAAAUUAUAGUACACCAAUCAGACCUUCAUGCUAUUGUUCUAUAGGAUAUGAGGGGCCAUUGAAACCCAUCUGGGUCUCUACUUUGCAUAUCGCCCUGAGGAAGUGAGCCACCACUGAGUCUCUAGAUGGUUUUGGGGUACAUGUGAAGAACAUGCAUCAAAACAGCAUGGUACUGGUACCAAAACAGAGAUAUAGACCAAUGGAACAGAACAAAGGCCUCGGAGGCAACACAACAUAUCUACAGCCAUCUGAUCUUUGAUAAACCUGACAAAAACAAGCAAUGGGGAAAAAUUCCCUGAUUAAUAAAUGGUGUUGGGAAAACUGGCUAGCCAUAUGCAGAAAGCAGAAACUGGACCCCUUCCUGACGCCUUACACUAAAAUUAACUCCAGAUGGAUUAAAGACUUAAACAUAAGACCUAACACCAUAAAAACCCUAGAAGAAAAUCUAGGCAAAACCAUUCAGGACAUAGGAGUAGGCAAGGACUUCAUGACCAAAACACCCAAAGCAUUGGCAACAGAAGCCAAAAUAGACAAAUGGAACCUAAUCAAACUCCACAGCUUCUGCAAAGCAAAAGAAACAGUCAUUAGAGUGAAUCGGCAACCAACAGAAUGGGAAACAAUUUUUGCAGUUUACCCAUCUGACAAAGGGCUGAUAUCCAGAACUUGCAUAUGUUUUUUAAGAAUUCUCCCUGCUCUUUAUUGCAAUUCAUUCCUAUUUUAUUGCCAAUUUGUAUUUCAUUGUUCAAAUAGACCACAGCUUGUUUAUCCACUCCUGUUGAUGGUCAUUUGGACCCUCUAUUUUUGUCCGUUGUGAAUAAAGCUGCUAAGAACAUAAAUACAACUUCUUUUCUGAAAGUAUAUUUUAAUUUCUCUUAGGUACGUGACUAGGAAUGGUAUUGUUGGGUAGUAUGGUAAUAAUGGCAAUAUGUUUAACUUUAUGAUAGACUGCCAAACUGUUUUCCACAGUGAUUAUACCAUUUUAUACUUCCAGUUCUAGCUGCUUCAAAUCCUUACCAAUGACUUGAUAUUUUGGUAAUUUUAAUUUUAAUCAUCCCACUGAGUGUGUAGUGGUAUCUCAUGAUUUUUAUUUGCAUUUACUUGAUAACUAAUGGUAUUCAACAUCUUUUGUAUUGGUGCUAAAUAUCAUUUGACAUAUUGGCUGUGUGUGUGUGUGUGUGUGUGUGUGUGUGUGUGUUAGUUAUACUUUGUAAAUAUAGUUAUAUUCUGGAGAUAAGUACCAGGACUUGUAUCCUAUUACAUGUAUUGGGAAUAUUAUCUCCUACUUUUUCCAGCGUGUGUUAUACUUUGUAAAUAUACUUAUAUUCUGGAGAUAAGUACCAGGACUUGUAUCCUAUUACAUGUAUUGGGAAUAUUAUCUCCUAUUUUUUCCAGCCUGUGGCUUGACUUUUCAUUUUCUUUUUCUUUUGUUUUUUGAGACAGAGUCUCACUCUGUUGCUCAGGCUGGAGUGCAAUGGCAUGAUCACAGCUCACUGCAGCCUUGUCCUCUUGGGCUUAAGAAGCAAUCCUCCCAUCUCAGCCUAUCCAGUAGCUGGGACCAUAGGCAUGUGCCACCACAACUGGCUAAUUUAUAAAUGUUUUGUAGAGGGGGUUUUCCUGUGUUGCCCACACUGGUCUCGAAUUUCUGGGCUCUAGUGACCCUCGCACCUUGGCCUCCCAAAGUACUUGAAUUAUAGGUGUGAGACAUCAUGUCUGGCCUUAUUUUCUUAAUAGUGUCUUUUGAAGAGCAAGAAGUUAUACUUUGAUGAAGGACAAUUCAUCAAGUUUUACCUUGAUGUUUUAUUUUGGUUUAUAAUCUAAGAAACCUUUGCUUAUUGAAAGUUCAUGAAGAAUUUUUCUUACUUUUAUCCCCAUAAGCUUUAUAGUUUUAGCCUUUACAUUUAGGUCUGAGACACAUUUCAAUUUAAUCUUUGUGCGUAUUAUAUGGUAUAAAGGUGAAGAUUCAUGGUUUUUCAUAUAGACAUCUAGUUGUUCCAAUACUGUUUUUGGAAAGACUAUAUGUUCCCUGUUGAAUUACCUUAGCAUCUCUGUUGAAAACCAAUUUGCCAUCUGUAUCCAAGUUUAUUUUUGGACCUUUUUUUCUGUAAAUGAAUCUAUAGAUCUGUAGUGUAAAUCUUUCACCUGUGUUCUAUUUUAAAUUGUUGAGUCACUUUAGUCUUUUGCAUCAUCUCCAUAUAAACUAUAAAAACAGUUCAUCAAUUUCUUUAAAAAAGCCUUAUGGACUUUUUAUUGAUGUUUUACUGAAUCUAUAAAUAAAUAUGAAGAGAAUUAGCAUCAAAACAAUGAGUUUUCAAUUUAUGAAAAUGAAUUUCAGAGAAAUUUAUUAGAAUCUUAAUUCCUGUCAUUAAUAUUUAGUGGCUUUUAAGUAUAACAAUAUUGCACAUAUUUUGUUAAAUUUAUCUGAAGCAUUUUAUGUUUGUGGAUGCCAUUUUUAAAAUUUAAUUUAGUUUAAUUUUAAAUUUUGGGAUAUCUGUGCAGGAAAUUCAUGUUUUUUACAUAGGUAAGUCUGUGCCAUGGUGGUUUGCUACACUUAUCAAUCCAUCAUCUAGGUAUUAAGCCUCUCAUGCAUUAGCUAUUCAUCCUGAUGCUCUCCCUCUCCCCUGGAUGCUAUUGUUAAUGGUAUUUUUAACUAUGAGAUUCCAGUUGUUCAUUACUAGUGUGUAGAAAUAGAUUUUUGUAUCUUGACCUUAUAUCUCGUAACUUUUUUUAUAGCUACUCAUUAUAUCUAGUAGCUUUCUUUUGUAGAUUUUUAAAGAUUUUUCUCAUAAAUGAUGUGUUUUUCUCUACUCACAUCAAGUUUUAUUUCUUCCUUUACAAAAUAUAUUCCAUUUAUUUCUUUUUCUUGGCUUAUCAUAGUGGCUAGAAACACCAGGAGAAUGUUGAAUAAAAGUUGUGAGAGCAGGCAUCCUUGCCUUUUUCUUGAUGUUUGAGUGAAAGCCUUCAAUAUUUCAUCACUGAAUAUAAUAUUAGCUCCAGCUUUUUUGUAAUUGCUUUUCGUCAGUUUGAGGAAGUGCUUUCAGCACUUUGAAUAUGUCAUUCUGUUGUCAGUUGGUUUGCACUGUUUCUAUAUAGUAGCCAGAAUAUUUUAUUUUCUUUCAUCGCCAGAACAAGUAUCUCUUUUCUUGGUUGCCUUUAACAUUUUUUAUCUUUAACAGUGACUUGCCUUGAUUAUGCAAGUAAGUGCUUAUGAUAUGCCUUGGUAUAGUUGUGUGUGUGUGUAUGUGUGUGCACACAUGCUUAUGCAGAAAUUAUUGUGGGUACAGAAUUGAGAGUAAUGAUAGUGUGUAUGCAUGCUUGUGCAUUAAUCUGCCUAGAUAUUUUUUGAGAUUCUUGAAUCUAUAGAUUUAUAUUUUUCAAAAAGAAAUAUUUGGACAUUAUUUCUUCAAACAUUUUUUCUUCCCUCCUUUGAUUCUGAUUACACUUAUGAUAAACUAUUGAAUUGAUCUCACAGGUCACUGAGAAUCUGUUGUUUUUUCAGCCUGCUUUGUCUCUAUGAUUCCGUUUAGAUAAUUUCUAUUGACUGAUCUUUGAGUUUACUGAUUUUUUUCUUCUUUAGUGUCUAAUUUGCUCUUAAUUGCAUCCAGUAGCAUUCUGACAUCAGCUAUUAUGGGUUUUAGAAGUUUAUUUUAGUUGUUUGUAGUUUCCAGUAAUAUUUAUAUUUGUUUCUCAUGUUAACAUAUUUUAGUAGCUAUAUUAAAAGUUCUUGUCUGCUAAUUCUAUCUCUUUUUAUUUACAUGUGUGUUUCUAAUAAUAGAUCUUUCUCCUGAUUACCAGUUCCUUUUUCCUGCCUAGUAAUUUAUAACUGAAUGGGGAGUAUUGAGAAUGUUACAUUGUUAAACCUAUUUACAUGGUUUAAUUUUAAAAGGGCUGGGGUUUUUUAACUGUAAUAUAGUUUAAUUUGAUGUUUCGAAUCCUUUUUAAAAAGUUUUGUGGUGAGAGUCUUGUUUACUGGAGACUCUAUAAGGUUUCUGUUGAAAUUCUAGGUGUUGUUCUCUACUCACAUUUCAUUUAAGAAUUUUCUAUUGUAAAGUGUCUGUUCAUAUCCUUUGCCCAUUUUUGAAUGGGCUUGUUUUUUUCCUGUAAAUCUGUUUGAGUUCUUUGUAAAUUCUUGAUAUCAGCCCUUCAUCAGAUGGGUAAACUGCAAAAAUUAUAUGAGGCCAAUAAACAUAUGAGAAAAUGCUCAUCAUCACUGGUCAUUAGAGAGAUGCAAAUCAAAACCACAUUGAGAUACCAUCUCACACCAGUUAGAAUGGCGAUCAUUAAAAAAUCUGGAGACAACAGAUGCUGGAGAGGAUGUGGAGAAACAGGAACACUUUUACACUGUUGGUGGGAGUGUAAAUUAGUUCAACCAUUGUGGAAGACAGUGUGGCGAUUCCUCAAGGCCUUAGAAAUAGAAAUUCCAUUUGACUCAGCAAUCCCAUUACUGGGUAUAUAUCCAAAAGACUAUAAAUCGUUCUACUAUAAGGACACAUGCACACGAAUGUUCAUUGCAGCACUGUUUACAAUAGCAAAGACCUGGAACCAACCCAAAUGCCCAUCGAUGAUAGACUGGAUUGGGAAAAUGUGGCACAUAUACACCAUGGAAUAUUAUGCAGCAAUCAGAAAUGAUGAGUUGGUGUCGUUUGCAGGGACAUGGAUGAAUCUGGAGAACAUCAUUCUCAGCAAACUGACAAAAGAACAGAAAAUGAAAUACGGUAUAUUCUCACUCAUAGGCGGGUGAUGAAAAAUGAGAACACAUGGACACAGGGAGGGGAGUACUAAACA
Callithrix jacchus (white-tufted-ear marmoset) is the source of this 4975-nucleotide non-coding RNA. The record is from RefSeq and is a predicted model, not a curated record. NCBI's taxonomy places the organism in Eukaryota, Metazoa, Chordata, Mammalia, Primates, Cebidae.